GGCCUCCUGGCUCGAGCCCUUGGCCCCCGACUCCCCGCGUUUCGGCGCCCGAUCAGCGCUCCAGGCCGCCCCCUCUCCGCCUUCUCCCAGUGCCUUUCCCUUUCUGAGAGACAGGGUUGCACCAUGUUAGCCUAGCCAGGAUGGUCUCGAUCUCUUGACCUCGUGAUCCACCCACCUCGGCCUCCCAGAGUGCUGGGAUUAUAGGCGUGAACCACUGCGCCUGGCCAAGAAAUUUUAAAAGAAGUUCUUCAGAGAGAAGAAAGAUGAUAUAUUUCAGAAGCAGAUCUACAUUUAAAAAAUGAGCAUCAGGGAAUGAGUAAGUAAAGUGAGCAUGUCGGCCAUGUGCUUCUUAGCUAUAUGAGAAAUCAAUCUCAGAAUCUCAAUUUGAAGCUCUGUUUGCUGGGGCCACAUAUACUACCAAAUACUGCUAUCAACAAAAAGAAGGCAUUACAAAUAGAUAGCAAUGAAAAUUUGUGAAUAAUGAGAAGACAUUUGUGCUUCAAAUGAACACAGCAUAUGCCAGGUUUCAGCCCCAAGGUUUUUCACCUCUGGGAAAUGAGAGCCCAUUAUUCCACCUGACACAUGAAGCAUAAAUAAAAUAAACAGAGGGAAAAAUAAAACAGGCUGUGAUAACCAUAAUCUUGAAAGAAACAAAUAGCUGAAGAGGUUAAAUAUAUAUUGUUUAGGAAGAUCUCUUGGAGAGGGAAUCAUUUAAAGAGAGAUUUGAAUGAAGUGAGGG
Long non-coding RNA from Symphalangus syndactylus (siamang), 739 nucleotides. RefSeq lists it as uncharacterized. The record is from RefSeq and is a predicted model, not a curated record. NCBI's taxonomy places the organism in Eukaryota, Metazoa, Chordata, Mammalia, Primates, Hylobatidae.